RNAcentral lists this long non-coding RNA (1373 nucleotides) under Salvia miltiorrhiza (redroot sage). RNAcentral describes it as "long non-coding RNA (SMIL_LNC007780)". Lineage: Eukaryota; Viridiplantae; Streptophyta; Magnoliopsida; Lamiales; Lamiaceae. The record is from RNAcentral.
AUCACUACACUAUUUCACCUUCCCCUCCAACACAUUAUUAAUGCAGAAUUUUUUUUCUAAAAAUUGCAGAUUUCUUUUUGUAGCAAAUAUGAUUUUUCAAAACCAGCAAACUUUUUCUCUUCAACCCUCUACAACAUAUCCCCUUCAUUACGGGUUCAAUCUAUAUUUUUCAAAGGCUGCACAACUUCAACAGUAAACACUCUCCAACCCAUAGAACAAUUUCAACCUUCAUAAUUUCCAUUGUCUGAGGAAUCCACCUAUAAAUUCAUAGCUCACUCCACUCUAGCAAGAACCACACCAAUGCAGAAAAAGGUAAAUAAACUUCACUUCUUAUGAAAUUCUUACAAACAGCCAAGUUCAUUCAAUAACUUUGUUCUUGAAUCAUUCUAGCAGCCGACAUAAAACCAAUCAAACUCCAGAACAACAACGAGAAUUAGAAAACUUUCUUCAAGGUUUCACAUUCUAUAACUCAUUAGCUUCAUCAUUCAUAUAUAGAAUUAUUUUCAUGAUAUUAAAAACGAACAGAGGACUUAGAAUAUACGUAUAUAAAUGUAGUUUAGUUAGGAACUCUAUAUCAUUGAACUAGAAUUUAGAAAAAACCAAGUUUUGAUUCCAAAAUCAAGUCUUUACAACAGUUGAGUUUUCUGAAAACUAUUUCAAAUCUACAAACCUACCGAGUGAUAAAACGAGAGGAAAGAUACGGUGGACUGCCGAAGCCCUGCUGUCCGGGACGGCGGCUCCGGGAGAGGCGGCUGCCGGGUUCUUGCUGCCAACAGCAGCGGCCGACGGCGGCGCUCCUCCAGCGAGCUGCUGGCCGUUGAUCUCAGGCAGCAGCAGCGGCGACUCCGGGCGAGCAGCAGCAGCUCCAGGCGGCGAUCUCGACUCCCGGCGAAGCAGCAGCAGCUCCAGCGGCGGCUUCAGUGCAACUGCCGGCGGAGCAGCGCGGCGGCGCGACGCCGGAAUCAAGAACGAGAGCGAGAGAGGGAUGGGAUGGGUGUGUGCGUUUCAGGGAUGAAGGAGAAGAGAGAGUUGGAGGGAAGGGAGGAGCAGGACGACGGCGGUACGCCGGACCUUCGCCGGUCUCAGGCGGCGGCGGAAAAAACAAGGGGAGGGAGAGAAGGGAGCCUCCUGUUGUGUGUGCGUGAGUUUCUGAAUUGAGAGAGAGAGAGGAUGCGUNGGUGUGUGCGUUUCAGGGAUGAAGGAGAAGAGAGAGUUGGAGGGAAGGAGGAGCAGGACGACGGCGGUACGCCGGACCUUCGCCGGUCUCAGGCGGCGGCGGAAAAAACAAGGGGAGGGAGAGAAGGGAGCCUCCUGUUGUGUGUGCGUGAGUUUCUGAAUUGAGAGAGAGAGAGGAUGCGUGAAGAAGGGUUUCU